UAACUUAAGCAUAUCAAUAACGGGAGGAAAAGAAACCAACAGGGAAUUGCCUCAGUAACUGCGAGUGAAGCGGCAAAAGCUCAAAUUUGAAAUCUGGUACCUCUGGGUGCCCGAGUUGUAAUUUGGAGAGGCAACUUCGGAGAGGGCGCUGGCCUAAGUUCCUUGGAACAGGACGUCACAGAGGGUGAGAAUCCCGUGCGUGGCUGGCUGUCCUUCUUCAUGUGAAGUGUCUUCGACGAGUCGAGUUGUUUGGGAAUGCAGCUCAAAAUGGGUGGUAAACUCCAUCUAAGGCUAAAUACUGGCGAGAGACCGAUAGCGCACAAGUAGAGUGAUCGAAAGAUGAAAAGCACUUUGAAAAGAGAGUUAAACAGUACGUGAAAUUGUUGAAAGGGAAGCGCUUGAGACCAGACUCGGUGAUUGGUGAUCAGCGGUAGCUUUUGCUCCGUGCACUUGCCUUUUACCGGGCCAGCAUCAGUUGCAGGGGUGGGAUAAAGACCUAGGGAAUGUGGCUCCCUUCGGGGAGUGUUAUAGCCCUGGGUGUAAUGCUGCCUGUUGCGACUGAGGACCGCGCUUUGGCUAGGAUGCUGGCAUAAUGGUCUUCAGCGACCCGUCUUGAAACACCGGACCA
This 628-nucleotide ribosomal RNA is filed under the name Donadinia helvelloides. RNAcentral describes it as "eukaryotic LSU rRNA". It matches the Rfam family "Eukaryotic large subunit ribosomal RNA", at positions 30 to 668 of the family's 3401-position model. Lineage: Eukaryota; Fungi; Ascomycota; Pezizomycetes; Pezizales; Sarcosomataceae. The record is from RNAcentral.